AAAGAUGAAAAGCACUUUGGAAAGAGAGUUAACAGUACGUGAAAUUGUUGGAAGGGAAACGCUUGAAGUCAGACUUGCUAUUUGGAGUUCAGCCGCAAGGUGUAU
This 105-nucleotide ribosomal RNA is filed under the name Chrysochromulina rotalis. RNAcentral's name for it is "partial Eukaryotic large subunit ribosomal RNA". The record is from RNAcentral. Lineage: Eukaryota; Haptophyta; Prymnesiales; Chrysochromulinaceae.